RNAcentral lists this ribosomal RNA (426 nucleotides) under uncultured Megamonas sp. Its description in RNAcentral is "bacterial SSU rRNA". It matches the Rfam family "Bacterial small subunit ribosomal RNA", at positions 356 to 774 of the family's 1533-position model. The record is from RNAcentral. Lineage: Bacteria; Bacillati; Bacillota; Negativicutes; Selenomonadales; Selenomonadaceae.
GGGGAAUCUUCCGCAAUGGGCGAAAGCCUGACGGAGCAACGCCGCGUGAACGAAGAAGGUCUUAGGAUCGUAAAGUUCUGUUGUUAGGGGCGAAGGGUGCUACUUUGAAUAAGGGUAGUAUUUGACGGUACUUAACGAGGAAGCCACGGCUAACUACGUGCCAGCAGCCGCGGUAAUACGUAGGCGGCAAGCGUUGUCCGGAAUUAUUGGGCGUAAAGGGAGCGCAGGCGGGAAAUUAAGCGGACUUUAAAAGUGCGGGGCUCAACCCCGUGAGGGGGUCCGAACUGAUUUUCUUGAGUGCAGGAGAGGGAAGCGGAAUUCCCAGUGUAGCGGUGAAAUGCGUAGAUAUUGGGAAGAACACCAGUGGCGAAGGCGGCUUUCUGGACUGUAACUGACGCUGAGGCUCGAAAGCUAGGGUAGCGAACG